UACGGAGGGGGCUAGCGUUGUUCGGAAUUACUGGGCGUAAAGCGCACGUAGGCGGCUUUGUAAGUUAGAGGUGAAAGCCCGGGGCUCAACCCCGGAACUGCCUUUAAGACUGCAUCGCUUGAACGUCGGAGAGGUGAGUGGAAUUCCGAGUGUAGAGGUGAAAUUCGUAGAUAUCGAGAGGAACACCUGCGGCGAAGGCGGGUUGCUAGGCUGACACUGACGCUGAGGCGCGAAAGCCAGGGGAGCAAACGGG
Molecule: ribosomal RNA, 253 nt
Filed under: uncultured bacterium
Lineage: Bacteria
Description: partial 16S ribosomal RNA
Rfam family: Bacterial small subunit ribosomal RNA
Source: RNAcentral